This is a non-coding RNA of Acanthosepion pharaonis, 107 nucleotides long. The record is from the annotation of a GenBank genome assembly. Lineage: Eukaryota; Metazoa; Mollusca; Cephalopoda; Sepiida; Sepiidae.
CUUGCGGCCAUAUCUCGUUGAAAAACCAGUUCCCGUCCGAUUACCGAAGUUAAGCAAUGUCGAAUCCUGGCUAGUAGCUAGAUGGGUAACCACUUGGGAAUACCAGA